CUGCCUCCUUCUUGGAUGAAUUUAUUUUUCAAAAAAAUGGUGUACCUACUAACAAAUACCUUUUGUUCAGUAGGAUGGUAGAAGUAGUAUCCAUUACUUUUCUUAGGAUAUCCUACAAACCUACACUUGUUUGAUCUAGCACUAAGCUUAUAAUAUCCAAAAAUAUUUUUGACAUAAGCAAGACAGUCCCAAAUCUUAAGAUGUUUAAGAUUUGACUUCUUUUCCUUCCAUA
Molecule: long non-coding RNA, 232 nt
Filed under: Elaeis guineensis (African oil palm)
Lineage: Eukaryota; Viridiplantae; Streptophyta; Magnoliopsida; Arecales; Arecaceae
Description: long non-coding RNA (EGUI_LNC054275)
Source: RNAcentral